UACGUAGGCAGCGAGCGUUGUUCGGAGUUACUGGGCGUAAAGCGUGCGUAGGCGGUGUCUUAAGUUUGUUGUGAAAUCUCCCGGCUUAACCGGGAGGGUGCGGCGAAUACUGAGAUGCUGGAGCGCCGGAGAGGUAAGCGGAAUUCCUGGUGUAGCGGUGAAAUGCGUAGAUAUCAGGAGGAACACCUGCGGUGUAGACGGCUUACUGGACGGUAACUGACGCUGAGGCACGAAAGCGUGGGUAGCAAACAGG
This 253-nucleotide ribosomal RNA is filed under the name uncultured bacterium. RNAcentral describes it as "partial 16S ribosomal RNA". It matches the Rfam family "Bacterial small subunit ribosomal RNA", at positions 524 to 776 of the family's 1533-position model. The record is from RNAcentral.